RNA transcript from Anopheles merus, 1952 nucleotides. It is a transcript of the gene named cysteine-rich with EGF-like domain protein 2, with no coding region annotated. The transcript is spliced from 5 exons. Lineage: Eukaryota; Metazoa; Arthropoda; Insecta; Diptera; Culicidae. The record is from RefSeq and is a predicted model, not a curated record.
ACACGUCAGUUCAACAAAACAAAACCCCGGCAUCGAGCCCUCCUCCACCCUGCCCGGGGCGCAGAGAAAAGGGAUUUUGUGUGUUUCUUCCGUGCUGUCGACCCAACUACUGAUCUGUGUUCGUUUUUCGUGCCUAAAGCUACCCAGGCAGGGUGUGUGGUCGGCUGACUGUGUGCUGUGCGUUAUUAUCGUCCCGUAGCGAAUCCAGAACCAUCGACAAAGAGGGCAACGUGGAAUAAUCGUUUCUCGUACACCUCCAAAGAAACAAUACACGUGUCCGUGAUGCGACAUUCGAGAGCGAUUGUGGCCAGCCUGCUGCUCGUGGCCCUGCUUCCAACGCUAUCCCUCGGGGACAUACCGAAACCACCCUCGCUGUCCGCCGGAGGAGGCACCAAGAAGGACAAACUUAAGACUGAAAAACUGCCCCCCUGCAAGGCGUGCACCGUGCUGGUGAAUUCGUUCCGCGACGGCAUCAAGCGAACGGAACGGGCCAAGCACGAUGGUGGCGAUGCGGCGUGGGAAGAGGAACGGUUGGGCAGCUACAAAACCAGCGAACUGCGGCUGGUCGAGAUCCAGGAGCGGCUCUGCACGGACAUAGUGCGGGGUGAGGACCAGUGCCAUCAGCUGGCGGAAGACUACGAAACGCAGAUAGAGGAGUGGUGGAAAAACCAUCAAACCACCCAGCCCGAUCUGCACCGGUGGCUGUGUGUGGAGCAGGCCGCCGUCUGCUGUCCGGACGGAUUCUACGGCCCGAACUGUGAUCCGUGCCCGACCUGCUUCGGCAACGGGAAAUGUAAGGGCAACGGCACCCGCAAGGGCAAUGGGAAGUGUGCCUGCGACGAGGGAUACACGGGUGACAACUGUGAUAGCUGCAGCGAGGAGCACUAUCAGGCAUUCCGGGACGAGACGAAGCUACUGUGCAGCCGGUGCCAUAAGGCGUGUGCGGCCGGCGGCUGUACCGGGGCCGGGCCCAACUCGUGCCGGGUUUGUCGCAGCGGCUGGGUGAUGGACAGUGCCCGCGGUGGCUGUGUGGAUGUGGACGAAUGCAUUAAGGAGGCUCCAUGCACGAAGCAGCAGUUUUGCGUGAACAAUGAAGGCUCGUACAGCUGUUUGGAGUGUGAUAAGUCGUGCGAUGGCUGUAAUGGCGAUGGUCCAGAUUUGUGUGAAAAAUGUGCCGAAGGAUACGAGCUGCGGGACGGAAUGUGUACAGAUACGUCCAACGAGAAGCGCAACCAGUACGCCACCUUUACGCGCUACCUCACCUACCUCGGUCUGUGCAUUGCCACGUGCAUCGUGCUACAGAACUCGACCUGGCUGGCGGCGCUGGUCGGUCUGGCCGUCGCGGUUUACAUUUCCGUUUCGGAGUACUGGCUCAACACGGCCCCGCAGCAACCGGCGGCACCUUCGCCGCGGAUUUUAGACGAGAUUCUACAGCAGCAUUAAAAAUAGAACAACUUCCACUCGGCGUGUGCUUGUAUAGAGCACACCCAUGCAUGAUUCGCCGAGGUACACGUGGGACGGGAAGGGCUCAAUUUUAUCUUCGACACUUUUAUGAAAGAAGGUUGUGCGGUUAUUUUUGGUGCUGUCCUAGGACAACCAUUUUUAGUUCCGAGAUUCGCAAAGCAAAGUGUUGGUGUUGAUUGGAUAAAUCAGACUUAUGGAAUCGUCUCUUCCACGCGCAUUAAACUUUUAAGAGCAAGCGAAUCCUUUCUCUACGACUAAUUAAUCAGAACAAAAGAUCCAUGGCACGGCAUCGUUGGCCAUUAUGUCUGAAAUGAUGAGUGAAUGAGUGAAACAAUGUGCAUAGGGGUGACAUUUUAGGUAAAACGAAUAAAAUAAACUCGUAACAGUAACAGAAACUCUCCCAUACUUUGCGUCAUCGGAUGAGACGGGCGUGCCGGAACAACAGAUGGAUCCGCCUAGCUUCUCUUCAACUCGGGAAGGCGAGCCCC